This 253-nucleotide ribosomal RNA is filed under the name uncultured bacterium. RNAcentral's name for it is "partial 16S ribosomal RNA". It matches the Rfam family "Bacterial small subunit ribosomal RNA", at positions 524 to 776 of the family's 1533-position model. The record is from RNAcentral.
UACGGAGGGGGCUAGCGUUGUUCGGAAUUAUUGGGCGUAAAGAGCUCGUAGGCGGUCUGUUGCGUCGGCUGUGAAAACCCGGGGCUCAACCCCGGGCCUGCAGCCGAUACGGGCAGACUAGAGUUCGGCAGGGGAGACUGGAAUUCCUGGUGUAGCGGUGAAAUGCGCAGAUAUCAGGAGGAACACCGGUGGCGAAGGCGGGUCUCUGGGCCGAUACUGACGCUGAGGAGCGAAAGCGUGGGGAGCGAACAGG